This 465-nucleotide ribosomal RNA is filed under the name Vreelandella stevensii. Its description in RNAcentral is "partial 16S ribosomal RNA". It matches the Rfam family "Bacterial small subunit ribosomal RNA", at positions 338 to 795 of the family's 1533-position model. The record is from RNAcentral. Lineage: Bacteria; Pseudomonadati; Pseudomonadota; Gammaproteobacteria; Oceanospirillales; Halomonadaceae.
CCUACGGGUGGCAGCAGUGGGGAAUAUUGGACAAUGGGGGCAACCCUGAUCCAGCCAUGCCGCGUGUGUGAAGAAGGCCCUCGGGUUGUAAAGCACUUUCAGUGAGGAAGAACGCCUGGUGGUUAAUACCCAUCAGGAAAGACAUCACUCACAGAAGAAGCACCGGCUAACUCCGUGCCAGCAGCCGCGGUAAUACGGAGGGUGCGAGCGUUAAUCGGAAUUACUGGGCGUAAAGCGCGCGUAGGUGGCUUGAUAAGCCGGUUGUGAAAGCCCCGGGCUCAACCUGGGAACGGCAUCCGGAACUGUCAAGCUAGAGUGCAGGAGAGGAAGGUAGAAUUCCCGGUGUAGCGGUGAAAUGCGUAGAGAUCGGGAGGAAUACCAGUGGCGAAGGAGGCCUUCUGGACUGACACUGACACUGAGGUGCGAAAGCGUGGGUAGCAAACAGGAUUAGAUACCCCGGUAGUC